UACGUAGGGGGCAAGCGUUGUCCGGAUUUAUUGGGCGUAAAGAGCGUGUAGGCGGCUUGGUAGGUCCGCUGUGAAAACUCGAGGCUCAACCUCGAGAUGUCGGCGGAAACCACUUGGCUAGAGUCCGGAAGAGGAGAGUGGAAUUCCUGGUGUAGCGGUGAAAUGCGCAGAUAUCAGGAAGAACACCCGUGGCGAAAGCGGCUCUCUGGAACGGUACUGACGCUGAGACGCGAAAGCGUGGGAGCGAACAGG
Molecule: ribosomal RNA, 252 nt
Filed under: uncultured bacterium
Lineage: Bacteria
Description: partial 16S ribosomal RNA
Rfam family: Bacterial small subunit ribosomal RNA
Source: RNAcentral